GUGUGUGUCGUCAAGCCGGA
RNAcentral lists this non-coding RNA (20 nucleotides) under Arabidopsis thaliana (thale cress). The record is from RNAcentral. Lineage: Eukaryota; Viridiplantae; Streptophyta; Magnoliopsida; Brassicales; Brassicaceae.